RNAcentral lists this non-coding RNA (21 nucleotides) under Caenorhabditis elegans. Lineage: Eukaryota; Metazoa; Nematoda; Chromadorea; Rhabditida; Rhabditidae. The record is from RNAcentral.
UUUUCCAUAUUUUUUGUGAUU